GGUUAAGCGACUAAGCGUACACGGUGGAUGCCCUGGCAGUCAGAGGCGAUGAAGGACGUGCUAAUCUGCGAUAAGCGCCGGUAAGGUGAUAUGAACCGUUAUAACCGGCGAUUUCCGAAUGGGGAAACCCAGUGUGACUCGUCACACUAUCAUUAACUGAAUCCAUAGGUUAAUGAGGCGAACCGGGGGAACUGAAACAUCUAAGUACCCCGAGGAAAAGAAAUCAACCGAGAUUCCCCCAGUAGCGGCGAGCGAACGGGGAGGAGCCCAGAGCCUGAAUCAGCAUGUGUGUUAGUGGAAGCGUCUGGAAAGGCGCGCGAUACAGGGUGACAGCCCCGUACACAAAAGCGCAURUGCUGUGAGCUCGAUGAGUAGGGCGGGACACGUGGUAUCCUGUCUGAAUAUGGGGGGACCAUCCUCCAAGGCUAAAUACUCCUGACUGACCGAUAGUGAACCAGUACCGUGAGGGAAAGGCGAAAAGAACCCCGGCGAGGGGAGUGAAAAAGAACCUGAAACCGUGUACGUACAAGCAGUGGGAGCACAGGUUUACCUGUGUGACUGCGUACCUUUUGUAUAAUGGGUCAGCGACUUAUAUUCUGUAGCAAGGUUAACCGAAUAGGGGAGCCGGAGGGAAACCGAGUCUUAAUUGGGCGUUAAGUUGCAGGGUAUAGACCCGAAACCCGGUGAUCUAGCCAUGGGCAGGUUGAAGGUUGGGUAACACUAACUGGAGGACCGAACCGACUAAUGUUGAAAAAUUAGCGGAUGACCUGUGGCUGGGGGUGAAAGGCCAAUCAAACCGGGAG
This 803-nucleotide ribosomal RNA is filed under the name Salmonella enterica. RNAcentral describes it as "partial 23S ribosomal RNA". Lineage: Bacteria; Pseudomonadati; Pseudomonadota; Gammaproteobacteria; Enterobacterales; Enterobacteriaceae. The record is from RNAcentral.